CCUACGGGUGACAGCAGUGGGGAAUAUUGGUCAAUGGGCGCGAGCCUGAACCAGCCAAGUCGCGUGAGGGAUGACGGUCCUACGGAUUGUAAACCUCUUUUGCCGGGGAGCAAGCGUGCGUUCGUGAACGCGCGUCGAGAGUACCCGGAGAAAAAGCAUCGGCUAACUCCGUGCCAGCAGCCGCGGUAAUACGGAGGAUGCGAGCGUUAUCCGGAUUUAUUGGGUUUAAAGGGUGCGUAGGCGGUUUUUUAAGUUAGUGGUUAAACGUCGGGGCUCCACCUUGAUUUGCCAUUAAUACUGUAAGACUCGAGUUCAGACGAGGUAGGCGGAAUAAGUUAAGUAGCGGUGAAAUGCUUAGAUAUAACUUAGAACUCCGAUAGCGAAGGCAGCUUACCAGACUGCGACUGACGCUGAAGCACGAGAGCGUGGGUAGCGAACAGGAUUAGAUACCCCAGUAGUC
This 460-nucleotide ribosomal RNA is filed under the name uncultured bacterium. RNAcentral describes it as "partial 16S ribosomal RNA". It matches the Rfam family "Bacterial small subunit ribosomal RNA", at positions 338 to 795 of the family's 1533-position model. The record is from RNAcentral.